AAAUAAGAAACAAAUUAUUGUAUUUAGUUUCGACCUAAAAAUCUGGUGACCGGCACCCUUAUUUA
RNAcentral lists this transfer RNA (65 nucleotides) under Ischnosoma splendidum. RNAcentral's name for it is "tRNA-Arg". The record is from RNAcentral. Lineage: Eukaryota; Metazoa; Arthropoda; Insecta; Coleoptera; Staphylinidae.